Gavialis gangeticus (Gharial) is the source of this 108-nucleotide long non-coding RNA. RefSeq lists it as uncharacterized. The transcript is spliced from 3 exons. NCBI's taxonomy places the organism in Eukaryota, Metazoa, Chordata, Crocodylia, Gavialidae. The record is from RefSeq and is a predicted model, not a curated record.
CAAGAGACCCCUGUGAGGCAUGAGGGGCAGAGUGAGAGUGAUAGUGAAUGGAGCCCAAUUACGGACUGAGUUUGCCCUGGCCUCAGGCUGGGAGAAGUAAUCAUAAUC